Molecule: ribosomal RNA, 484 nt
Filed under: uncultured bacterium
Lineage: Bacteria
Description: partial 16S ribosomal RNA
Rfam family: Bacterial small subunit ribosomal RNA
Source: RNAcentral
GAUGAACGCUGGCGGCAUGCCUAAUACAUGCAAGUCGAGCGGACAGAUAAGGAGCUUGCUCCUUUGACGUUAGCGGCGGGCGGGUGAGUUACACGAGGCUAACCUACCGAUAAGGCUGAGGUAACGUCGGGGGACCUGAUAUCAUACCCGAUAACAUGUUGAACGGCAGGGUUCAAUGGUGAACAGGGGAUUUGCUGACCCUAGGACGGAUUAGCUAGUCGGUGGGGUAAAGGCCUACCAAGGCGACGAUCCGUAGCAGGUCUGAGAGGGUGAUCAGUCACACUGGAACUGAGACACGGUCCAGACUCCUACGGGAGGCAGCAGUAGGGAAUAUUGCACAAUGGGCGAAAGCCUGAUCGAGCCACGCCGCGUGUGUGAAGAAGGUCUUCGGAUCGUAAAGCACUGUUAGCUGGGAGGAAGGACAGUAUGAUAAUAUCUUCAUGUCUUGACGGUACCUGCACAAUAAGCACCGGCUAACUUCGUG